UACGUAGGGGGCGAGCGUUGUCCGGAUUCAUUGGGCGUAAAGAGCUCGUAGGCGGUCUGUUGCGUCCGCUGUGAAAACUCGGGGCUUAACCCCGAGCCUGCAGUGGAUACGGGCAGACUAGAGGUAGGUAGGGGAGAAUGGAAUUCCCGGUGUAGCGGUGAAAUGCGCAGAUAUCGGGAGGAACACCGGUGGCGAAGGCGGUUCUCUGGGUCUUACCUGACGCUGAGGAGCGAAAGCGUGGGGAGCGAACAGG
RNAcentral lists this ribosomal RNA (253 nucleotides) under uncultured bacterium. RNAcentral describes it as "partial 16S ribosomal RNA". It matches the Rfam family "Bacterial small subunit ribosomal RNA", at positions 524 to 776 of the family's 1533-position model. The record is from RNAcentral.